GACGAACGCUGGCGGCGUGCCUAAUACAUGCAAGUAGAACGCACAGUUUAUACCGUAGCUUGCUACACCAUAGACUGUGAGUUGCGAACGGGUGAGUAACGCGUAGGUAACCUGCCUGGUAGCGGGGGAUAACUAUUGGAAACGAUAGCUAAUACCGCAUAAUAUUAAUUAUUGCAUGAUAAUUAAUUGAAAGGUGCAAUUGCACCACUACCAGAUGGACCUGCGUUGUAUUAGCUAGUAGGUGAGGUAACGGCUCACCUAGGCGACGAUACAUAGCCGACCUGAGAGGGUGGACGGCCCCACUGGGACUGAGGCACGGCCCAAACUCCUACGGGAGGCAGCAGUAGGGAAUCUUCGGCAAUGGACGAAAGUCUGACCGAGCAACGCCGCGUGAGUGAAGAAGGUUUUCGGAUCGUAAAGCUCUGUUGUAAGAGAAGAACGGGUGUGAGAGUGGAAAGUUCACACUGUGACGGUAUCUUACCAGAAAGGGACGGCUAACUACGUG
This 505-nucleotide ribosomal RNA is filed under the name uncultured bacterium. RNAcentral's name for it is "partial 16S ribosomal RNA". It matches the Rfam family "Bacterial small subunit ribosomal RNA", at positions 28 to 507 of the family's 1533-position model. The record is from RNAcentral.